RNAcentral lists this ribosomal RNA (254 nucleotides) under uncultured bacterium. RNAcentral's name for it is "partial 16S ribosomal RNA". It matches the Rfam family "Bacterial small subunit ribosomal RNA", at positions 524 to 776 of the family's 1533-position model. The record is from RNAcentral.
UACGUAGGGUGCAAGCGUUGUCCGGAAUUAUUGGGCGUAAAGAGCUCGUAGGCGGUUCGUCGCGUCGGCUGUGAAAUCCCGAGGCUCAACCUCGGGUCUGCAGUCGAUACGGGCGGACUGGAGUUCGGCAGGGGAGACUGGAAUUCCUGGUGUAGCGGUGGAAAUGCGCAGAUAUCAGGAGGAACACCGGUGGCGAAGGCGGGUCUCUGGGCCGAUACUGACGCUGAGGAGCGAAAGCGUGGGGAGCGAACAGG